Molecule: long non-coding RNA, 1364 nt
Filed under: Sus scrofa (pig)
Lineage: Eukaryota; Metazoa; Chordata; Mammalia; Artiodactyla; Suidae
Description: lncRNA (ENSSSCG00005005324.1)
Source: RNAcentral
CAUGUACUUAACUAAUAAUAUCUAAUUUUGGUUGUGUGCCUGGCACAGUACAAGCCUGGGGAUGUUUGACUGAGCUAAGGCACUGAACAAGGUAGACGUGGACUUGGUCUGGAAACAUAUUCGAAACAAGUAGUAACUGCAGCCUUGAUGUGUUAGGAGGAGAAGCGCAGGUGCUUUCUGUUUUAUAAGUUAACAUUCCUCUGGGACUUGUCCUGAUCCCCUCCUGCUCCUGAAACUCAGGCUAGUUAAGGGGGGAAAUGAUCUGUCCAGGGCCACAUGUUUGCGUGCAGAGCCUGUAUUCUUCAGAGCUCUUGGCUUUGCUGAGGGAGUCUACAAUCAGCAAUCAGGAGUGUAGUGAAGGCUGGGGGCGGGGUGCAGGGGGUGCGUGGUGAGCGGAGGUGUGUGUCAUGGACCUGAAAGCAUGAAAAAGAAAGCGUGAAGCUUGAGUGCACUCCAUUCAUUCAGUCAUUCAACAACAAUUAAGAGUAUAAUUUGUUCCAGGCCCUUCCUUUUAGUGAGUUGGUGGUGUUUUGUGAUGGAAAACCCAUAAUGAGCAAGUUUGAGGUGGUGUCUGAACUCACUCCAGUUGGAAAACAGGAAGCAAGUAAUUACCCAGGAGGUAACAUAAUUACAAUUUUGUGGCGAGUGUUGAGAAAAACAGCAAGCUCUUCAAGUUUGUAAUUCAGUGGAUAAAGUUUGAGCUGAGAAGACAUAAAGAAAGAAAUGAUGGGAACUCCAGUUUUGGUCUUAUUCUCGGUUUGUAAAUGGAAGAUGGGAAGUAAAGUCUUAAGGGCAAUAGACUCUGUACCUAAACCGAGUGUGGAUUUGCUUCCCUUCCUGGGAGUUCGUGAAAUCUCCCUGCUGCUCUCCUAAGGAGAGCCACAGACCUUGAGGGAUCAAUCAUUGAAGCUAGUUUCCUCCCAAAGGAGACUACUUCAUCUAACAUCUCUUACUUUACAAGGUGUAAUACGGUCUACAAACCACCAUCCCUCUGGUAAGCAGCUUUUUAAAAAUUUUUAUGUUUGUCUUUUUAGGGCCACACCUACAGCAUAUGGAAGUUCCCACACUACAGGUUGAAUCUGAGCUGCAGCUGCCAUCCUACCCCAUAGCCACAGCCAUGCUAGGAUUCAAGCCACAUCUGUGACCUACACCAUAGUUUGUGGUAACUCCAGAUCCAUAACCCAGUCAGCGAGGCCAGAUCAAACCUGCGUCCUCAUGGAUACUAGUCAGGUUCAUUACCACUGAGCCACCAUGGGAACUCCAUUGUAAGCAGUCAUGGAAUAGCGGAAAAGUGUAAACAGAAAAGGAACCAACAUUCACAGAGUGAAAUAAGUAGGAGAAUCCAGUCCAAACAAGUAGGAGAA